UGGGAUGUAAUUAGUGAGUCACCAGGUGAAGGUGUUACAGAAGGGAGAGCAAAAACCUAUAAAAACAGGACUCACAGGCUGCCUGGGUUUGGGAGGAGGUGAGAAGAUGCGCCCUAGGAAGCUGCAUGGCCUGAUUUGAGGUCUUGCGAAGGACAGCAAGCAAAAUGCUUUUUUGGGAAAGCCAGGCUAUCAUCCCCCCAAACAGCAAACUCCAAACCCGAAAGAGAAAGGGCCCUUUGAAGUGAGCUGCCCGAAUGCGACGUGUGACAUCAGAGAGAUGGCAGAUAGCUGGCAGAACAAGGCUGCCUUUCAGCCUGCCCCAGCCCCGGUCGGUGCACGAUUUACACCCCACCUCCCCACGCUGGAGAUGAAAGAUGCCCCAGGCAGCCUGCCUGACCCCGUUGCUUCUGCUAUCUCCACUUGAUUGCACAGUGUUUUGCUCCAAACAAUCCUUCACUGUCUGGGCCGCACAGGUUCAACCUGCCUUUCUGUCCAAAGCAAGCUGGUCUCCCACCUUGGGUCCUUGCUUUAAAAAGGUAUGGUGGAAGGAGGACCUGCGUGUCUAUGCUGAAAUGAAAAUCUUUGAGAAGUUGUUCAGUCUUGAGACAGUGGAUUUGUGUAGAAGAUGAGUUGUGGUAAAAUAGCUGCAAAUUAAGCACACAUCCAACAAGUCUGGAGGACAGUGAGUCUGAGGAACCAAGCAGAUGGGCUCAAGAAAGCUCUGAGUGUUCAAGUGGCACCAGGGAUGUGCCCACACAAACAUCUCAGUAGGUUCUUCCUGAGCUAAUGCAAUCCCAGAGGCAUGUCCUAGAUUCGUGUGAGUGGGGCAUGAGUCAAAACCCUGAAGGGUAUUUGAGCAGCUGAGCUCCCAUAAGAUCUGAGCACCCUUUUGACCUCUACUGAAAAGAUCAGAGCCAAGUUUUCCCUUGCGUUCAGAGACUUGUAAAGGCUGAAUGCCCUAAAAUCAAUGUUACUAGUGGGAACAUGGAAAUUAAUUGUGUCAAUCUAUCACUCAUCUUCCCCUAUUACAUUCAGUGAUUGGAACUUGGCCUCCAGUGCAUGAACAAAGUGUCUUCUGUGACAAGUAACUGCUGCGCAGGAGGUGGCUGCAUGGCUGAGUGGUGGAGAGGGCAGGACAAAAUAAAAGUUUGGGUUCAACAUC
Molecule: long non-coding RNA, 1162 nt
Filed under: Anser brachyrhynchus (Pink-footed goose)
Lineage: Eukaryota; Metazoa; Chordata; Aves; Anseriformes; Anatidae
Description: lncRNA (ENSABRG00000022731.1)
Source: RNAcentral